GAAUAACUUUGUGCUUAUAACUUGUUUGAAAUUGUUUACUUUUUAGUUAAAUCCUCUUGGGUGCCUUUAGCUGCUCUAUAGUUUUAUUUUUUUUUGUUACAUGAUAAUUCUUCUGUUUUACACGGAAGGAAUCGCACAGGGUGUGCUGAUGGAAAAUGUAUUUGAAUAGAAAAAUGUCCUUUUCUUAUAAGAAGCUUUGUCCCUGUUGAGAUUUGAUUUGAUGAAGUAUUUACUUUGGUUUCAGCAUGCUCUGCCUGUUCAGUAUAUUGCAUUUUUUGGCUUUAGCAUUAGCAUCCCCCUAUUGCAAAGGCCUGGUUUGAACUAAGGGCAGUGUAUACUGCUCAGUGCUUUCUUUUUUGUCAAAGGAUAUUUUUUCAAUGAAAUCCCAAGGAAGGGUCAAUGGCCUCGCUUGUAUCGGAAGCAGCUCUCUUCAUUACCAUUCAAAUAAAGGGAAAAAGACUGAUGUGAACAAUCUGUAACUAAUUCCAAGUGCCAAUUGAGCCUUUUUAACUUGGAAGAAGAUGCGCUUCAGGUACGAGUACGAAGCCCCAACGUUUGACUUGAAAUCCAUCGCAGAAGCCGUCAGUCCCGUCCAGAGUGUUGUAAAUUAGUUCCAGUCUCCAAGAGGCCGCUGUAACUAAUGGAUAUGACCUGGAAGUGGAUAAAGUCCAUAACAGUGCCUGAAUUUAUUGAUGCCAGAAGAAGGGGGAGAUUCAACAGCAACAACAGAAAGGGAUUUCCUGGCAGCAACACUAUGUCAAACUCAUUCCUUACCCAGUUCUGUUGCUGUAAGUUUUUGACCACCAGUUAAAAAUUUGAUAUCUCUAUACACAUGACAUACUUCUAACAA
Calidris pugnax (ruff) is the source of this 850-nucleotide long non-coding RNA. RefSeq lists it as uncharacterized. The record is from RefSeq and is a predicted model, not a curated record. The transcript is spliced from 3 exons. NCBI's taxonomy places the organism in Eukaryota, Metazoa, Chordata, Aves, Charadriiformes, Scolopacidae.